This 483-nucleotide ribosomal RNA is filed under the name uncultured bacterium. RNAcentral's name for it is "partial 16S ribosomal RNA". It matches the Rfam family "Bacterial small subunit ribosomal RNA", at positions 30 to 507 of the family's 1533-position model. The record is from RNAcentral.
AUUGAACGCUGGCGGAAUGCUUUACACAUGCAAGUCGAGCGGCAGCGCGGCCUUCGGGCUGGCGGCGAGCGGCGAACGGGUGAGUAAUGCAUCUGAACAUGCCCAGUCGUGGGGGAUAACACUUCGAAAGAAGUGCUAAUACCGCAUACGUCCUGAGGGGGAAAGCGGGGGAUCGCAAGACCUCGCGCGAUUGGAGUGGCCGGUGUCAGAUUAGCUAGUUGGUGGGGUAAAGGCCUACCAAGGCGACGAUCUGUAGCUGGUCUGAGAGGAUGAUCAGCCACACUGGGACUGAGACACGGCCCAGACUCCUACGGGAGGCAGAAGUGGGGAAUUUUGGACAAUGGGGGCAACCCUGAUCCAGCCAUUCCGCGUGAGUGAAGAGGCCUUCGGGUUGUAAAGCUCUUUCGGCAGGAACGAAACGGUGGGCUCUAACAUAGUCCGCUAAUGACGGUACCUGAAGAAGAAGCACCGGCUAACUACGUG